GACGAACGCUGGCGGCGUGCUUAACACAUGCAAGUCGAACGGAAAGGCCCUGCUUUUUUGCGGUGCUCGAGUGGCGAACGGGUGAGUAACACGUGAGUAACCUGCCCUUGACUUUGGGAUAACUUCAUGAAACUUGGGCUAAUACCGGAUAGGAGCUCCUGCUUCAUGGUGGGGGUUGGAAAGUUUCGGCGGUUGGGGAUGGACUCGCGGCUUAUCAGCUUGUUGGUUGGGUAGUGGCUUACCAAGGCUUUGACGGGUAGCCGGCCUGAGAGGGUGACCGGCCACAUUGCGACUGAGAUGCGGCACAGCCUACUACGGGAGGCAGGAGUGGGGAGUAGUGCACUAUGGGCGGAAGCAUGAUGCAGCCCAGCCGCGUGGGGGAUGACGGCCAUCGGGUUGUAAACCGCUUUCGCCUGUGACGAGGCGAGAGUGACGGUAAUGGGUAAAGAAGCACCGGCUAACUACGUG
RNAcentral lists this ribosomal RNA (468 nucleotides) under uncultured bacterium. RNAcentral describes it as "partial 16S ribosomal RNA". It matches the Rfam family "Bacterial small subunit ribosomal RNA", at positions 28 to 507 of the family's 1533-position model. The record is from RNAcentral.